CUCUUUGCGACUCCAUGGACUGUAGCCCACCAGGCUUCUCCAUCCACGGAAUUUUCCAGGCAUGAGUACUGGACUGGGUUGCCACUGCCUACUCCAGGGGAUCUUCCUGACCCAGGGAUUGAACCCAGGUCUCCCACAUUGCAGACAGACACUUUACCAUCUGAGCUACCAGGGAAUCUCCCAGGAAAGGAGCCUCCCCCCCGCACCCACCCCAGCACUGAAGAAGCACAGGUGACAAAGGAGACUUGUGGAUUGAGUGUUUCUGCUGCUGCUACUGCUGCUAAGUCACUUCAGUCGUGUCCGACUCUGUGUGGCCCCAUAGACUGUAGCCCACCAGGCUCCCCCGUCCCUGGGAAGAACACUGGAGUGGGUUGCCAUUUCCUUCUCCAAUGCAUGAAAGUGAAAAGUGAAAGUGAAGUCGCUCAGUCAUGUCCGACUCUAGCGACCCCAUGGACUGCAGCCUACCAGGCUCCUCCAUCCAUGGGAUUUUGUAGGCAAAAGUACUGGACUGGGAAUUACUCACAUUGCUUCAUAGGUUUCUAGUCCUUUACAAUGUUGAGAUAACCUGGGGGAUCCAGACCAGAUGGUGACAUAAGAGGCUCC
This 603-nucleotide long non-coding RNA is filed under the name Bos indicus x Bos taurus (hybrid cattle). RNAcentral's name for it is "lncRNA (ENSBIXG00000019856.1)". Lineage: Eukaryota; Metazoa; Chordata; Mammalia; Artiodactyla; Bovidae. The record is from RNAcentral.